GGGCAAGUGACCUGAAACGAGAGGAGAGUUAUUUUUCAAACUAAAUCAUGAAAUUCACAAGACACAAAAAAAACAAGACAAGACAUCCCUUACCACGGUGUGACAGGGACAGUGGUCUGAGAGGACAUCAGAAGAGUAAUGAGGCCCUUACUCUUUCUCCUGGAAGCUGCAGUUCCAGUCUGAGGCUCGCUGAAACAAAUAAAGCUUUUUGUUCGACGAUUCCUCGUUGGCGUCUCCUUGGCUCAUCACCCAUCACACAGUCACUCUGUUCUGGGAGAGUGACACCAUCAACAAAUAUACAACAUUGGUAAAAAAAAUAAAAAAAUCAAAAGAUGAUUCACUAACAAACUAGCCUCAAAGCCAAACAUAACAUACAUCAAGGGUACGGAUGAGAAAUCUACUUGUUGAUGUUUUUUCCUGCAGAGUCAUGAUGUGUUUCUUCUGGCUCUUGACUCCAGGAUAAGGCGGACGGUGCCCUCCGUGAUUUAAUACCACAUGACUUUCGCCGAGGUGCUCACGCAUGACAGAGCGGGUGGAGCCUCUCGGUGUGUCUGAGCGCGGACUUUUCAAACGCACCAGCAGAAAACGCGGCGGCGGAUGUUAUGGCGUGCAACGACGACGACGACAACAAGGCGUCUCGCCUGUGAAAGUUGCAUGCUUGUGGGGGUCCAACUGGCGAUGGCACUGAUUACAGCGCCGUGGAGGAGGCUGACUGAUAAGCCAGUUAAUUGUUAAUCAGACAGCAGCAGAAGCAGCUCUUAAAUUAGACGCAUGAAUAGAGCCCUUGUCGGUGUGGACCUCAGCCUCUCCUCCGUGCCGCACAGAUAGAUGCAUGAAGGGGAUGGAUUUUUUUGGUCUUUUUUUUCCCGCCUCCAUGUUGCCGGGCAAAAUUCAGAUGAGGUCACAAUCAAUUGCUCCCUGAGGCCCGAUAAAAGUCGGCCAGUCAUGCUCACGUUGGUGUUUCCUUGACAACCUGAGGUAGAGGGGCUUCACUGCCCCGCAAGGACAAGGAGAGAUGGCAGGGACUAGGGUUGUACCGUUUCCAAAAUGUAUGUCCAUACUUUUCGGUACUUUUCUAAAUAAAGGGGACCACAGACAAA
Long non-coding RNA from Nerophis lumbriciformis (worm pipefish), 1100 nucleotides. RefSeq lists it as uncharacterized. Lineage: Eukaryota; Metazoa; Chordata; Actinopteri; Syngnathiformes; Syngnathidae. The record is from RefSeq and is a predicted model, not a curated record.